UAGGGAAUCUUCGGCAAUGGACGAAAGUCUGACCGAGCAACGCCGCGUGAGUGAAGAAGGUUUUCGGAUCGUAAAACUCUGUUGUUAGAGAAGAACAAGGACGUUAGUAACUGAACGUCCCCUGACGGUAUCUAACCAGACAGCCACGGCUAACUCCGUGCCAGCAGCCGCGGUAAUACGGAGGGUGCAAGCGUUAAUCGGAAUUACUGGGCGUAAAGCGCACGCAGGCGGUUGAUUGAGUCAGAUGUGAAAUCCCCGGGCUUAACCCGGGAAUUGCAUCUGAUACUGGUCAGCUAGAGUCUUGUAGAGGGGGGUAGAAUUCCAUGUGUAGCGGUGAAAUGCGUAGAGAUGUGGAGGAAUACCGGUGGCGAAGGCGGCCCCCUGGACAAAGACUGACGCUCAGGUGCGAAAGCGUGGGGAGCAAACAGG
Molecule: ribosomal RNA, 429 nt
Filed under: Chloroflexota bacterium
Lineage: Bacteria; Bacillati; Chloroflexota
Description: Chloroflexi bacterium partial 16S ribosomal RNA
Rfam family: Bacterial small subunit ribosomal RNA
Source: RNAcentral